GAUGAACGCUAGCGGCAGGCUUAACACAUGCAAGUCGAGGGGCAGCGGGUAUGUUAGCAAUAACAUAUGCCGGCGACCGGCGCAAGGGUGCGUAACGCGUGAGUAACAUGCCCGUAUCAGGAGGAUAACCCGGAGAAAUCCGGACUAAUACUGCAUAAUAUUUUCAGACGGCAUCGUUUGGGAAUUAAAGUUUCGACGGAUACGGAUUGGCUCGCGUGACAUUAGCUAGAUGGAGAGGUAACGGCUCCCCAUGGCGACGAUGUCUAGGGGUUCUGAGAGGAAGGUCCCCCACACUGGAACUGAGACACGGUCCAGACUCCUACGGGAGGCAGCAGUGAGGAAUAUUGGUCAAUGGUCGAAGGACUGAACCAGCCAUGCCGCGUGAAGGUGACGGGCCCCUAAUGGGUUGUAAAACCUCUGUCCUCAGUGACGAAGAAAGUGACGGUAGCUGAGGAGGAAGCCACGGCUAACUACGUGCCAGCAGCCGCGGU
This 491-nucleotide ribosomal RNA is filed under the name uncultured bacterium. RNAcentral's name for it is "bacterial SSU rRNA". It matches the Rfam family "Bacterial small subunit ribosomal RNA", at positions 28 to 521 of the family's 1533-position model. The record is from RNAcentral.